Molecule: ribosomal RNA, 494 nt
Filed under: Plasmopara geranii-sylvatici
Lineage: Eukaryota; Oomycota; Peronosporomycetes; Peronosporales; Peronosporaceae
Description: LSU rRNA
Rfam family: Eukaryotic large subunit ribosomal RNA
Source: RNAcentral
UGAGUCGCGUUGUUUGAGAAUGCAGCGCAAAGUAGGUGGUAAAUUCCAUCUAAAGCUAAAUAUUGGUGCGAGACCGAUAGCAAACAAGUACCGUGAGGGAAAGAUGAAAAGAACUUUGAAAAUAGAGUUAAAGAGUACCUGAAACUGCUGAAAGGGAACCAAAUCGUUUCCAGUGUCUAUAAUCCGUGGUAUAUUUCAUUGGCGAUUGUAUGCGUGCGUGUGCUGUUGCAGUGACCUUUUGGUUGCGCUCGGCGCGUGUGUUGUGUAUGCUUGUUGGUGCCCUGUGCUGCGGUGGGACGUCAAGGUCAGUUCGUAUGCUGCGGGAAAUGGCUACCGAGGAGGUAGGGCUUACGCUUGCGUUUGUCUGUUAUAUCUUGGUAGACGAGUAGCCGCGGUUGGGACUGAGGUGCCUACAACGUGCUUUUGAGUGGGCUUGGGUCUCCGUGUGCGCUGUGUGCGGAUAGCUUGCUAUGCGUGUGCGGUUGUGUGUGGAU